Long non-coding RNA from Neopelma chrysocephalum (saffron-crested tyrant-manakin), 2952 nucleotides. RefSeq lists it as uncharacterized. NCBI's taxonomy places the organism in Eukaryota, Metazoa, Chordata, Aves, Passeriformes, Pipridae. The record is from RefSeq and is a predicted model, not a curated record. The transcript is spliced from 10 exons.
AGAAAUAAAAAAAAGCCAAGUUAUUUCAAUGUAAGCAUGUUAAAUAACUGGCAUCUGUCCUGAAAUCUUGUAAAACAAAUUGUAGCUCUGUGCAAUUAAGUCCUCUGGGUUAUAGUAUCCUCCAAGAUUAGACAUCUCUAAUGGGAGUGUUGACAAGCCCUUCAGUGUAGCAUUGCAGUGGUGCCCCCUCAGAGAAAGAAGCAAAGCUCCGGGGAAAUAAUUAAAGAACAUUUUGGUCAGCCUGUGAUGCAAAUACAAAUUUUUCAGGUUAUGCAGAAAUAAACUGGAAACCCACAGAACAUCACCAAAAGAGACUAAGGAGACUGAGUGAUGCUUGUCCAAAUGGGCCUGAAAGGAAACAAAAAGGCUGGGAAGACAGAGAACAAGAAGGUUUUGGAGUAGCUGUGGCUCAGGAAAAUCUCUCUCUCCUCCCUGUCCCUCUAAUUUUUUAUUGUAGUCUGACAGUGGAGACAAAAGUAACCCAUCUUUUCAUUAAUCCUAAACCCUUCUCCUUCAUCUGGAAAACUGACAUCAAUUAUUAAUUUGGAUUCACAUUGUACUAAUUCGGAAUCUUGCUAGGGAACAGUACUUGCAUAUCCAGAUCUGUUAUUUUCACCAGUGUGGGCCUCUAUUCUGUGUCAAGCAAAGCUUUUCUUGUUACCUUUUAACAGUCCUACAAAUAGUAGGGUCUGCUCCUUACACAGACCAUACUUGGCCAGCUCAAUACUUCCAGUUGUUCUUCAGCUCUGUUACUUUUUGCUUCAAGAAGCAAAUUUAGUGCAAAAAACAUCAAGGAAAAAAAAUAUUUUAAAAUUGAUUUCUUAAUUGUUGAUGGCUAUCUAACAAAGCCAACUUUUGGUUAUUUUGGCAGUACAGUAAAUUUAGGAGGUAUCUGAUCUUCAGUGGGGCAUUUCUGGAUAAGAAAACAGUCAAAUUUAAAUCAAGACUUGAAAAAUUAAGAGUCAUAAACUACAGGGAGGAGCCAAGUCAUGAAGUCUCUUCUUUCUCUCCUUUCCCACUUUUCCUCAUACAGCCAUGAUUCACUGAGGGAGUGUUUUGAACAUUUCCACAACUGCAAGCAUUUGGACAGAAGGAAUGGGUGAAGAAAAUGUAUUUUAACAAUUAGCCAAUACAUGGUGGUCUCUCCUAAAAAAUCAAAAGGCAAGAAGUAGAUACAUCCAAGGCGUGAAAAGGAGAUAGGAUGUUUAAAUCACUUUUAUCAUUUUUUUGUACAUACUGAUGUUUAAAAUGGUAUUGGUUAAUGAUACAAUAUUUUUUCUAAUGUACCCUAGAGUCCCUAAUUAUUGCUUGAGCCACCUGAAGGGAUUAUUUAAUUUUUAAAUAAUUUCUGCAGCGAAAUGAGGAGAUCCCACAUUGGCUGCAUGAGCAUUCUUGCCAUUGCCCGUGGCUGGAGUUGCCUGAUGCCGUGAGUUUUCUAUUUCAUGGACCACUGUGAGAGAAAAUCACGUGCUGAGGGAGUAACCCAGCAAUGAAGGAGUAAAUAGCUGCUGCUCUGAAGAUCAGCUUAUUAAGAGGCAGACAUCUGAAUGAAUUUUUUUAAUUGUUUACUUAUAAGUUGGGGAUUUGUGAAAUGUGACAAAUAAGGAAGUAAUUGAGAGUGCCUGCUGCACUGAGAUCUGUCUCUGCCAACAUAGUUCUCUGCUGUGGUGCUGUUGUUUAUGGUGUGGCACAGGCAGGAGAAGGAGGUGUGCAAGGGAAUAUCCACUGGAGCCAGAACGGCAGGGCCUUGAAAAUUCCAUAUGCGGAUCCCAGAGUAGAGUAAGACACCAUCAGGAGACUGGAACCUGUGCCAGCCUGCAGAGGCCUGUCCUCCAGCUGAGAACAGCUCAAGUGCAACAUGUGCUGGCCCUGUGUCCUCCUCUGCCUUGUUCAGUUUUCCUUUGAGCUGAAAAGACAUGGGAAGAACCUGCCACCUCUGCCAGCUGUGCCAGAAAACUUCUUUCCUGAAGAAGUCGUGUGAUUGAUCUCUGAAGCAACUGCUCAGUUACAAUCCCACAAGUAACAUGGAAUUGCUGUCUGCUUGUGUUCUCUGGUAGUGAUUUUUACCAGGAUUCUGUACCUGGCAACAGCACCUCAGCCCAUCUCUGCGUGAAUCCAGUCCAACUCUGAAUAUCUCUAGCACUAAGCACACAGAAAGAUUACUUAGAUGUUUAGGAUUUCUCUUCACAAAGCAGAUGAUACAGAUGCUCAGGAAGAUUCAGUGAAAUGAUGGUGUAAUGGUAAAGAUUUGAUUGUGCUAGUCCACCGGUUUGUGAACUUUAAGGAAAAUACUUCAGAAAUCACAGUUUGAGAUUUCUUCCCCACAGAUUAUUUUAAACUGUGCCAUAAGUGGGUGGAAGAUCUCCAGCAACAUAACUUUGUAGUACGAAAAUGCCUUCAAGCUGUCCCAGAAGACAAGUGCUUUAAACAGAGAUGUGUCCCCAAGGUACAGAUCCAUGGGGUUCAUGCCAAGAACACGGACAAAUCCUUCUACUACUGCCCUGCUGGCCACCUGGAAGUACAGAAAGCAAGCAACCAGCUUAUUCAACUGCAAAAUCUACUUAAAAGAAGGGAUUAUCAUGUUCCUUCCUCUCUGGGAAAAGGGAGAAAGACUGACCAGGAAAACAUGACUGAUAGUAACAUUCAGUAUUCAUGACUGAUAGUAAAUGAUCAAAGAUGAUUAAAUUGGUUCCAUUCCCAUAAUCACUACAUUUUUUCAUCAUUUCACAGGUAACAUUCAGAAAUCACGACUGAUAGUAAAUGUAUUUUUUUAAUGAUCAAAUCUGUUCCAUUCCCAUAAUCACUACAUUUUUUUAUGAUCUCACACAUAACAUUCAGAAAUCAUCACUGAUAGGAAAUGGUAAAAAAUGAUUAAAUCAUCUGUUACAUUCCCUGAAUCACUGCACUUUUUUAUAAUCUCACAGAAACAUUCAGAAAUCAUGACUGAUAGUA